Molecule: ribosomal RNA, 465 nt
Filed under: uncultured Klebsiella sp.
Lineage: Bacteria; Pseudomonadati; Pseudomonadota; Gammaproteobacteria; Enterobacterales; Enterobacteriaceae
Description: bacterial SSU rRNA
Rfam family: Bacterial small subunit ribosomal RNA
Source: RNAcentral
CCUACGGGUGGCUGCAGUGGGGAAUAUUGCACAAUGGGCGCAAGCCUGAUGCAGCCAUGCCGCGUGUGUGAAGAAGGCCUUCGGGUUGUAAAGCACUUUCAGCGGGGAGGAAGGCGGUGAGGUUAAUAACCUCAUCGAUUGACGUUACCCGCAGAAGAAGCACCGGCUAACUCCGUGCCAGCAGCCGCGGUAAUACGGAGGGUGCAAGCGUUAAACGGAAUUACUGGGCGUAAAGCGCACGCAGGCGGUCUGUCAAGUCGGAUGUGAAAUCCCCGGGCUCAACCUGGGAACUGCAUUCGAAACUGGCAGGCUAGAGUCUUGUAGAGGGGGGUAGAAUUCCAGGUGUAGCGGUGAAAUGCGUAGAUAUCUGGAGGAAUACCGGUGGCGAAGGCGGCCCCCUGGACAAAGACUGACGCUCAGGUGCGAAAGCGUGGGGAGCAAACAGGAUUAGAUACCCGUGUAGUC